GAUGAAGAACGCAGCGAAAUGCGAUACGUAAUGUGAAUUGCAGAAUUCAGUGAAUCAUCGAGUCUUUGAACGCACAUUGCGCCCCCUGGUAUUCCGGGGGGCAUGCCUGUCCGAGCGUCAUUGCUGCCCUCAAGCACGGCUUGUGUGUUGGGCCUCCGUCCUCCUCCCGGGGGACGGGCCCGAAAGGCAGCGGCGGCACCUCGUCCGGUCCUCGAGCGUAUGGGGCUUCGUCACCCGCUCUUGUAGGCCCGGCCGGCGCUUGCCGACACAUCAAUCUUUUUUCCAGGUUGACCUCGGAUCAGGUAGGGAUACCCGCUGAACUUAAGCAUAUCAAUAAGCGGAGGA
RNAcentral lists this unclassified non-coding RNA (345 nucleotides) under soil metagenome. RNAcentral's name for it is "partial contains 5.8S ribosomal RNA, internal transcribed spacer 2, and large subunit ribosomal RNA". The stretch from base 1 to 120 matches the Rfam family "5.8S ribosomal RNA", at positions 35 to 154 of the family's 154-position model. The record is from RNAcentral.